Molecule: long non-coding RNA, 347 nt
Filed under: Setaria viridis
Lineage: Eukaryota; Viridiplantae; Streptophyta; Magnoliopsida; Poales; Poaceae
Description: long non-coding RNA (SVIR_LNC004702)
Source: RNAcentral
GGAGAUUGAGAAAAUCAAGUUGAUAUGAACCUUGAUUUUAUAGUGAUGAGCGUUAUACAAAUGUUGAAAUGGCUUUGAUGACAUUUUGGGAUUCAUGAAACUCUUAUGUCUUUUGUUUGAGUCUUUGGUUGUCUUGUGGGAUUCAUCAAGGGGGAGAUUGAGAAAUGGUUGUCUGGAGCUUGCAUGAUCCCUUCUCAUAUCAAGUUGCCUUUUGUUUGCUUUUACUUCGCUUUUGGGCACUUGAAUGAGUUCUCUUUUUCUUUCAAAUCAUCUUUUGUCAAUGCACUUAUCAAGGGGAAGAUUGAGAGACCAAGUUGAGAAGUGCCUUGGUCUAUUUGUGAUGAGUG